UCAAUCUAUAAGUUUAGUUUAAAUUUAAUUUUCUUCCAAAUUCUAUUUUCUUAGUAACUAAGAGAAAAAAAAGUAAUUCAUAUCAAAUUAAUUUAAUUAAAUCAAGACAUUCUGUGUUUGCAAUUCAAAAUCAAGGGGGGGAAAAAUUACAAAUACUACCAACUUGUUUUAUGUAGAAUCUAUAAAUAUUUGAAGUGUGCUUAUUGCCACUUCUUUAAAAAUUUACAUCCUAUGUACAUUGCUAUUUAGUCUAUUCAUAUCAGCAAAUUAAUCUUUCUUUGUUUCGUAUCAAAAUGAGUUUUUUCUAAUACAAAUAUUUUUUUAUUAACUUCUAGUUGACUAUUUUAUUAGAAAUUUAACUCCAUUGCAAAAUGGUCUCAUUUUCUUCCAAAUUCCAUUCGCUCAAUAGCUUACAAAAGAAAAAAAUAUUUAAAGCAGAAAAGAAUCUUUAAAAAUACAAACUCUUGAUUGUGGAAUCCAUAAAUAUUUGAAUUGUGCUUACUGCUACCACUUUUAAUAUUGUUACAUUAAAUUAGGAUAUACUGUUUGCUUAUAGAUAAGUACAUUGCUAGUUGUUCUAUGUUUAUCAAAACUUAUGAAAGGAAGAUGUGGAAGUUCAUAUUUCUUCCUUUUGUAUCAAUCUAUAUUAAUUAUAUCAAGUUUAAUGAGUAUGUUAUUAGUUACAGAGUUUUCAUAGUUAUACCUUUUAUAAGCUUUAUUUGGAUUUUUUUUUAAAGUGGGUUCUGAAAGCGUAAGUGAAAUUAUUUUCUAUCCUUUGUUGUAGAUGUUUGUGCUAGUUUUUCAUAGAAAAAGUAAUUUGAUAACACCUCAGGUUUAUUUUUCGCUUGAUAUCUAUAUGUAUCUUGUUCUUUAUUUUCACGUUGAUUUCAUAAUAAUUGGUUCUGAAGCAAAAUUUUCCAGGUGCUUUUUUUUUAAUUAAAUUUUUUUCAUUAUUUGCAAUCUUUGAAUAAUUUAAACACAGUUAUUAAAUGGUUCUAAAAUUUCAAGUAUUCUGUUGGUUUACGAUUUCAUUUCUUACAUUUUAAUAUUUGUUACUACUUUAUCACCAGAAGAAGUUCUCAUGACUAUCUCUUUGUGUAAAUGCUCUGCUCGAAUCUGCAGAAGACUAUCUGAUACUAGGUAAGUAUAGUUUUAAUCAUAACGUGUCUUAUUUCUGUUGACAUUUUAAUUUAGAUUGCAUAGGUUUCUAUGCAAUUAUUUAUGUUGGUCUCUUUUUAAUCUCUUCAGGACAAUGAUCACAUAUAAGUGAUAUCGCGAUUACGCUUUACGGCCCGCAGUAUCAUAUAUUGAGACUCCAACACCCCCAUGAGAAGACACACGGAUGUCUUUUCAAAUUGAAACGUUCUAUUUCAAUUUUUAAGCAAUCGAUGGCGCUUUAGAGUCCGUUAUGAUUUCUCCAAGAGGGUUGACCUUCAAUUUGCGCUUUCAAUUCCGAGUUUUUCUUUUUUAUGUGAUCCUGGUAUUUAGACUUGCAAGCAACUGCACUUUUACGGCUCGUUUGAGUGAAUUGGGCACGUGAAAUACUGCGCUCUGAGUUUUUAUUUUCAUUAAAAGGGUGUUAGAAAGGGAUUGAAAGCUUAUUGGUUAAGUAGAUGUUGUCGUUUGCAGUUAGGUGUUUACUAGAUAGUAUAUUGUAUGUAUUGGGUCAGUUUUUGAAUGUUUUUUUUUGGGGGGGGGGGAUAUAAUACAUUUUUUUUCUUCGUAUCAUCCUUUUAGGUCUAAUCUAAAAAAAAAUUUAAAUCUCAUUGAUUACAUACAAGUAAUUCUUCCUCCAAUCUGCAGAAAUCCGCCCAUUUGAUCUUUCCGCUUUAACGGACUUUCGCCAUUUUGAAUAUUUGACACUGUACCGGAAUCUAAUAUCACGAUUCAUAUUCACGUGAUUUUAAUAUCGAACAUCGAUUUUCGUAUUUACCUGAUUUAAUAGUUACACAUAGGAUAAACGCGAUACAUUAACCUAUCUGGUACAUAUGUAUACUCUCGGUCCGGAAAUAAUCUUUCUCUGGUCCUGAAUAGAUUAAAGGCCAAAUAUGAGAUGCAAUGCUUGAUUUUUAAGUUAUGCUUACAAAGCUCAAAGUUUUCCUUUCUUUAAAUGCCCUUAAUUAUUAAACCUUUCAAUAAAUGUCUUGAAAUUUUUGUGAUUUUUCCAAAAUUUUUGUUGAAGUUAACAGGAAGGAAAAUACUAUUU
Molecule: long non-coding RNA, 2206 nt
Organism: Parasteatoda tepidariorum (common house spider)
Lineage: Eukaryota; Metazoa; Arthropoda; Arachnida; Araneae; Theridiidae
Source: RefSeq, a predicted model, not a curated record